Molecule: ribosomal RNA, 1793 nt
Rfam family: Bacterial large subunit ribosomal RNA
Source: Rfam
AAAAAAAGUGAUUUAAAUAGACAGACAUUAGGCGCUAAGGUCUUUUGUCAAGAGGGAAACAGCCCAGAUUGAUCGCUAAGGUCUCUAAAUAAUAUUCUAAGUGAAAAAGGAAGUGAAAAAAUGAUUACAACCAGUAGGUAGGCUUGGAAGCAGCCAUCCUUUAAAGAAAGCGUAAUAGCUCAUUGGUCUAGUUUUUUUGCGCCUAAAAUGUAUCGAGACUUAAGAAAUUUACCGAAGCGGCAAGUUUUAUUUUAUAUAAAACGGUAGCGGAACAUUCUGUAUGUUAAUAAAGAUAUAUUGUGAAAUAUAUUGAAGAUAUCAGAAAAGAAAAUGCUGGCAUUAGUAACAAAAAAUAACGCAUAUGAAUCGUUAUCACCGUAAAUCCAAGGGUUUCUAUGUUAAGAUGUAUUGCAUAGAGUGAAACGGCCCCUAAGAAAGAUUUGACGAAAGCAAAUUUUGAUGGGAUAAUUUUUAAAUUAAAUUUUUUUAAAAAAGUGACAAAAAUUUUAAUUUUUCAGGAAAUAACUUUUUUAAUUAAAAACCGUACCCUAAACCGACACAGGUGGAUAGGUCGAGUAGACUAAGGUGAAUGAGAGAACUAUAUUGAAGGAACUCGGCAAAAUGACUUUGUAACUUCGGGAUAAAAAGUACCUAAUUAUUAAAAAAAAAUAAUGAGGUGUCACAAAAUAGGGGGUUGCGACUGUUUAAUAAAAACUUAGGACUCUGCUAAAUGGUAACAUGAUGUAUAGGGUCUGACACCUGCCCGGUGCUGGAAGAUUAAAAGGAGAUGUUUGCGCAUUAAAUGGAAGUCCCAGUAAACGGCGGCCGUAACUCUGACGGUCCUAAGGUAGCGAAAUUCCUUGUCGGGUAAGUUCCGACCUGCAUGAAUGGUGUAACGACAUCCCCGCUGUCUCCAAUAUAGACUCAGUGAAUUUGAAUUAUCCGUGAAGAUGCGGAUUUUCUAUAGUUAGACGGAAAGACCCCGUGAACCUUUACUACAUCUUUAUAUUGUUAUUUUAUCUAAUAUGUGUAGUAUAAGUGGUAAUCGUUUAGACCUUUACGCUAGUAAAUUGUUUAGAUAUUCUUGAAAUACCACUCUUAUUAUAAUAAAUAACUAAUAUUUUUUUAAAUAGACAUUGUAUGGUUGGUAGUUUGACUGGGGCGGUCACCUCCUAAAGAGUAACGGAGGUGUACAAAGGUAAGCUCAAAUUGGAUAAUAGUAUCAAUUGUAGAGCAUAAUGGUAAAAGCUUGCUUGACUGUAAGAUAGACAUAUCAAACAGGGACGAAAGUCGGUCAUAGUGAUCCGAUAAUUCUUUGUGGAAAGAUUAUCGCUCAACGGAUAAAAGGUACUCCGGGGAUAACAGGCUGAUGACUCCUAAGAGCUCCUAUCGACGGAGUCGUUUGGCACCUCGAUGUCGACUCAUCACAUCCUGGAGCUGAAGAAGGUUCCAAGGGUUCGGCUGUUCGCCGAUUAAAGUGGUACGUGAGUUGGGUUUAGAACGUCGUGAGACAGUUUGGUUCCUAUCUUCUAUAGAUAUUUUGAAAAAUGAAAGAAUCUAACUCUAGUACGAGAGGACCGAGAAGGGUAAAUCUCUGGUGUAUCGGUUGUUAAAAGGCAUCGCCGAGUAGCUAAAUUUAUUUUGGAUAAUUACUGAAAGCAUCUAAGUAAGAACCCAUUCUUAAAAAUUUUUCAUAUAAAAACUGUAAAAGACGAUUACAUUAAUAGGUUUUAAGUGUAAGUGUUGUAAAAUAUUUAGCUUAAAAAUACUAAAAGUUUUAAAAAUUAAAAUAU